RNAcentral lists this ribosomal RNA (253 nucleotides) under uncultured bacterium. RNAcentral's name for it is "partial 16S ribosomal RNA". It matches the Rfam family "Bacterial small subunit ribosomal RNA", at positions 524 to 776 of the family's 1533-position model. The record is from RNAcentral.
UACGUAGGUGGCAAGCGUUGUCCGGAAUUAUUGGGCGUAAAGGGCGCGUAGGCGGCCUUCUAAGUCGAACGUGAAAUCCCCGGGCUCAACCCGGGAACUGCGUCCGAUACUGAAAGGCUUGAAUCCGGGAGAGGGAUGCGGAAUUCCAGGUGUAGCGGUGAAAUGCGUAGAUAUCUGGAGGAACACCGGUGGCGAAGGCGGCAUCCUGGACCGGCAUUGACGCUGAGGCGCGAAAGCCAGGGGAGCAAACGGG